This 654-nucleotide ribosomal RNA is filed under the name Triticum aestivum (bread wheat). RNAcentral describes it as "partial small subunit ribosomal RNA". Lineage: Eukaryota; Viridiplantae; Streptophyta; Magnoliopsida; Poales; Poaceae. The record is from RNAcentral.
AUGGCGCACCGGGUGGACAAUGAGUACGACUACCUCUUCAAGAUCGUGCUCAUCGGCGACUCCGGCGUCGGCAAGUCCAACAUCCUCUCCCGCUUCACCCGCAACGAGUUCUGCCUCGAGUCCAAGUCCACCAUCGGCGUCGAGUUCGCCACCCGAACCCUCCAGAUAGAAGGAAAGACUGUGAAGGCACAGAUAUGGGACACGGCUGGUCAGGAGAGAUACCGUGCAAUUACUAGUGCAUAUUACAGGGGUGCUGUUGGAGCACUCCUAGUCUUUGACAUAACAAAGAGGCAGACCUUCGACAAUGUUCAGAGGUGGCUCCGUGAGCUCCGGGAUCAUGCAGAUGCCAACAUUGUUGUCAUGAUGGUUGGGAACAAGUCAGACUUAAACCACUUAAGAUCGGUUCCCGAGGAAGACAGCCAAGCAUUCUCUGAGAAAGAAGGUCUGUCGUUCCUUGAGACAUCUGCACUGGAGGCAAUCAAUGUGGAGAAGGCAUUCCAUACUGUGCUGAGUGAAAUUCACCAGAUUGUAAGCAAAAAAGCACUUGCAGCACAGGAGUCUGCUGCUGCCAACGGCCGUUCGAUGCAAGGAACGACUAUUAACGUUGCUGAACCAUCCGCCAACGCAAAAGGUUCUUGCUGUUCCUCCAGUUGA